UACGAAGGGGGCUAGCGUUGCUCGGCAUCACUGGGCGUAAAGGGUGCGUAGGCGGGUCUUUAAGUCAGGGGUGAAAUCCUGGAGCUCAACUCCAGAACUGCCUUUGAUACUGAAGAUCUUGUGUUCGGGAGAGGUGAGUGGAACUGCGAGUGUAGAGGUGAAAUUCGUAGAUAUUCGCAAGAACACCAGUGGCGAAGGCGGCUCACUGGCCCGAUACUGACGCUGAGGCACGAAAGCGUGGGGAGCAAACAGG
RNAcentral lists this ribosomal RNA (253 nucleotides) under uncultured bacterium. Its description in RNAcentral is "partial 16S ribosomal RNA". It matches the Rfam family "Bacterial small subunit ribosomal RNA", at positions 524 to 776 of the family's 1533-position model. The record is from RNAcentral.